This 2013-nucleotide long non-coding RNA is filed under the name Pongo abelii (Sumatran orangutan). Its description in RNAcentral is "lincRNA". The record is from RNAcentral. Lineage: Eukaryota; Metazoa; Chordata; Mammalia; Primates; Hominidae.
GAGUUGCCUUUGUAUGCUGGGAGGACCAAGCCGGAGGUUCCCACUAUGAGCCCGGAGUCUGUGCAGCCAGAUGACGCAUGAGCUCUAUUCAAAAUACUCAAGAUUUGGAAGCAACCUAAGUGUACAUCAGCAGACAAAUGGAUAAAGAAAAUGUGGUACCUAUACAAAAUGGAGUACUAUUCAGCUGUAAAAAAGAAUGAGAUCCUGUCAUUUGCAACAACAUGCAUGGAACUGGAGGUCGUUAUGCCUCUGCCUCUGAAUGUGAAGGAAAACUGGACCAGCUCAGUGUCAAGCCUACAGACAUUUCCUUGUUCCUGGGGACUGAGCAGUUUGAAGUCUCCAAAGAUGAAAACAUCUACUCUGAAGAGACCUGAAUGGACAAGAGAUGUUUUCCUCUUCCUUACCAUAAUAAAAGAGGACUGCUCCUGACCACAGGAUAUGCCUGGUCCAGGAAAUGGCCACAUUUCCUCCCUCAGGACCUCUACUUGGAUGGACUGUCUUGGAAAUAAGUAUACUGGAUUGGAAACCCAUUCAAUCUGAUGUCUGCUGAGGAAUGGAGAAGGACCACUGGUGAUUCCUCCAUCCUCACUCCUGUGUCCCUCCUUGCAUUGCAAGUGCUUUACAAGUCUUCCCGAUAGACCAUGAGCAUCCUGAGGGCUGGUAUCAAAUUUAACUCAUCUCCUAUCCUCAGUGCCUCAUACAAGAUGCUGGAUGUAGGAGGAGUUCAGAAGCUCCCACUGAGGCAGAAUCACAGCGAUUUGGAAAAUGGUCCAAUCAGCUAUAGUGGAAGAGCAGAAUCACUGAAUAUAAAACAUGGUCAUGUCAGCAGCAGGGGCUGCGGGCUGAACAGCUUCACUGGGAAGAGGAUAUGGGUGAGAAGGUACAGCAAUGGGUACCUCCAUGAACAGAUAAGCUGGAUCCUCAAUAGGAAUAGGCACUAGCUGGUUUUGGAUGAAGGUGUCGUAAGAUCAGAUACAUUUUUGGGUGAUCAGCAUGAUCUGGGUAUGGACAUGGCAGAGCAGGUGGAAGGGAAGGGACCAAUAUGUGUCAAUAACCAUCUAUGAGCCAGGCACUUACCGGGAAGUAUAAUGUCUUUGUAGUUAGACAGACCAGUAGUGUCUGCUGCUCUGGAGGAAGUUACUUAAACUCACCAAGACUCAGUUUUCUCUGUAUUAAAAUGAUGACACCUACCUCACUAUCUGGCCUUUGGGAUUAAAUAUGAGAAUAUGUGUGAAAAUUUAUGUCAUGUGGUAAGCACUCAGAUGUUUCCUGGAGGAACAGCAUGGUGUGGAUUAGGAACAUCCAAACUCUAACAUCAAACUGAACUUUUGAAAUAGAGGCCUCCCUGCUCACUAGUUGGGCAAUGUUGAACAAGCUAGUUAAACUAUCUAGACCUCAGUUUUGUUAUCUGGUGAGAUUAAUAGCAUUGAAUGGUGUAAAGCACAUUCUCAGUAAAUGCUCAUUAUUAUUAUUAUAGUUAUUAAUGUUUAUUUAACUUUGAAAUAAUAAUGUGUAGGAGCUCCUCAGGUAGAUAAUGGAAAUAAGAAAUUUCUUAGGGCAUGGAAGCAUGGAGGUAUGGAAAAUUUUGGAGAACAAAGAGGAGUCCGGUGAAGUAGGGUGGGGAUACUGGGCAGAUGCAAAGAUUGGCAAGGGUUAUAUCAUAAAGGCCGGGAUACCAGCCUGGCAUCAAGUGCCUUAGAUUGGGAAGAUGCAAAACGGUGGUCCAGAGUCAGCCCUGCAGAGGCCUGUUUCCUGACUUUCCAUCUUCAAUCUCUUUUCUAUGCAGUUACCAGAGUCACGUUUUGAAAUCUCAGAUCUGAGCAUCUAUCCUCAAAUAGAGCCCUACAUGGCUCCCAGUUCCUCCAGGAGAAGGUCCAAAUCCCUUAAGAUGACCUUAAGGCCCUCAAGUGUUCCAGGUUCUGUAUGUUCUUGCUGCCACAACUACGCCACAACAAAACAGUUUUUCCCCCAUUUCUACUUUGUUUUUCCAGUUGUAGAGUCAAAGCCUCAAGA